GAGGGCUUGCUCUUAUGUUGUUGGUAAGUGCUAACUUCUCUCUCUCUGUGAUACUUUAGUCCCAAAUUGGUUACCUUUUAGUUGAUACCUUGAAACUUGGAAGUUCAAGGCAGCUGGUAGGACCCUUUCCCUGCAAUGGCAUGUUGUUAAUUUCAAGCUGUAUAUUUCUUUAAUUUGCUUUACUGAGAGCACUUUCUGAAUCUAUCAAGUCAAAGAAAAACUGGGUUUCAAUUGGAUUUACAUU
Molecule: unclassified non-coding RNA, 244 nt
Filed under: Hevea brasiliensis (rubber tree)
Lineage: Eukaryota; Viridiplantae; Streptophyta; Magnoliopsida; Malpighiales; Euphorbiaceae
Source: RNAcentral